This 318-nucleotide long non-coding RNA is filed under the name Homo sapiens (human). RNAcentral's name for it is "non-protein coding lnc-NFU1-5:1". Lineage: Eukaryota; Metazoa; Chordata; Mammalia; Primates; Hominidae. The record is from RNAcentral.
AUGGUGAACGUUCCUAAAACCCGCUGGACUUGUGUCAGAAGUGUGGCAAGCACCAACCCCACAAAGUGACACAGUAAAAAGGGCAAGGAUUCUCUGUAUGCCCAGGGAAAGUGGCGUUAUGACAGGAAGCAGAGUGGCUGUAGUGGGCAAACUAAGCCGAUUUUCUGGAAAAAGGCUAAAACUACAAAGAAGAUUGUGCUAAGGCUUGAGUGCGUUGAGCCCAACUGCAGGUCUAAGAGAAUGCUGGCUAUUAAAAGAGGCAAGCAUUCUGAACUGGGAGGAGGUAAGAAGAGAAAGGGCUAAGUGAUCCAGUUCUAA